RNAcentral lists this ribosomal RNA (655 nucleotides) under uncultured bacterium. Its description in RNAcentral is "bacterial SSU rRNA". It matches the Rfam family "Bacterial small subunit ribosomal RNA", at positions 59 to 699 of the family's 1533-position model. The record is from RNAcentral.
AAGUCGAGGGGCAGCGGGAAGGUUAGCUUGCUAAUCUUUGCCGGCGACCGGCGCACGGGUGAGUAACACGUAUGCAACCUGUCCGGUACAGGGGGAUAAGCGGCGGAAACGCCGUCUAAUACCGCGUGACAACCCGAGGGGGCAUCCCCUUGGGUUCAAAGGAGAGAUCCGGUACCGGCUGGGCAUGCGGCGCAUUAGCUAGUUGGCGGGGCAACGGCCCACCAAGGCGACGAUGCGUAGGGGUUCUGAGAGGAAGGUCCCCCACACUGGAACUGAGACACGGUCCAGACUCCUACGGGAGGCAGCAGUGAGGAAUAUUGGUCAAUGGGCGCAAGCCUGAACCAGCCAAGUCGCGUGAGGGAAGACGGCCCUACGGGUUGUAAACCUCUUUUGCCGGGGAGCAAGCCUGAGCACGUGUGCCCAGGCGGAGAGUACCCGGAGAAAAAGCAUCGGCUAACUCCGUGCCAGCAGCCGCGGUAAUACGGAGGAUGCGAGCGUUAUCCGGAUUUAUUGGGUUUAAAGGGUGCGCAGGCGGGCUGUUAAGCCGGCGGUAAAAAUUCAGGGCUCAACCCUGUCGAGCCGUCGGAACUGGCAGUCUUGAGUGGGCGAGAAGUAUGCGGAAUGCGUGGUGUAGCGGUGAAAUGCAUAGAUAUCA